AUAACUUUGUCACACGGCCAGAUUAAUUCGUCAAUCGGGGUAAAAUAAUUUGUUUUGCGAUAUAACUGUGAAAUGACAAACUCAUGGUAGUAACAUAACAAAUUGAUCGAGCACUAUUACAAAGUUUCAACUGGUGUUGACAAAAACAAACUUGCGCAUGACUGAUUUAUUUGCGUGACGACUCUUCACAACCGUAUUUGACAAAUCCUCUUCGCGGUCAAUGUAGAAAUGACGAGUUUAAGUCGGCCAUAACGAAUUAUAUUACAAAUUAUUUGCUGAAAAACAAAUCAAUUUGUUGAGGCAAAAUGCAUGACAAAUUUAGCUCCUGAAGACAGUUCGGGACACCCCGCACAUAAUCAGCGUCUUCGAAUCACUCGCCGGUCGCCGUGAUUUUGCUGCGAAGCAAGGCUUGGGUAGAUCGUAAAAGUUUCUUGCAGAGUUUCGCAGGAUUCAUGGUGAGGACCUAAUCACACUGUUCAACCAAGGACUACGAAGACUGGCAGAACCCCUUUCUGGACUUCACAAAGAUAGAUGCAAAUGAGCCAAGAAAGAUGUGACAGUUUACUUCCCGGAAGCUAAGAAGAAAUUGCCAUACAGAUUCUACCAACCUUUUUCAAGGAAGACCUGGUGAUAUAUUCAUCUCAAGUGACAAGGUUGAUACGAAGCCCAUGUACACACGUGUAUUCUGCGAUCAAGAGGAAUCAUAUGAGCUUGUUCUGGAGGAGCAAAUAGUCUGUCAAGUCCAGGAUAAAGUGCAUGCAUUGGCUUGUUAAGUAGCUGGUUUUUAUUUUUCAUUCAGCCUAUGGCUAUGAGCCAUCAGUCAUGAAAAUUCGUGAGUUUUGCCAACUUGGAAUUCUUCAGGUGAAAGAUACAUGUCCUGUUGAUAAAUU
RNAcentral lists this long non-coding RNA (890 nucleotides) under Lytechinus variegatus (green sea urchin). RNAcentral's name for it is "uncharacterized LOC121415119". Lineage: Eukaryota; Metazoa; Echinodermata; Echinoidea; Temnopleuroida; Toxopneustidae. The record is from RNAcentral.